GGAAGGAGCAAGAGAGCAGAGAUUGGUCAGACGAUAGAUAAUAUGGAAGACAGCGAGCUAGCGUAUCUAGUCUGCUAUAUAUAUCUAUGGUUAGCACGUCUGGUAGCAUCUCUGGCUGCUGUUGAUCUUGUUUUUGGAGUAAAACGCGGUGGAAGCUGAAUUAGUGAGGAUGACUCCUGCUCCUGUCAUCUCUAAGCUCCUCACACAUCUUUACCUGCACAUGAGGAAAAUCACUCCUGCAGAAUGCAGAUGUUCAGAGGGAGAUGAUGCCACAUCUGGUCCAGCUGAUGGAAGGUCUUGAAGUUCUCUGACUGGCCUCGACUGAAGAUGGUCGUCUCACUGGAUUUAAGCUGCUGAAUUCAUGGAUGAAUCAUCUGGCACUAGAGAGGAAGACCAUCAAACAUCCACAUCAGCUGAUGAAGGUCCAAGAGUCUCACCGAACAAACAACCUACAGAGUGAAGACCUCCAAUCUGAUUGGAUGGCCUCCUAUUCAGCCACAUGUGUGAACAAAUGCUUCUAAGCUGAUUUGUUUUCUAAAAUCUAGUUUGAGUCCUAAUCUAUGCCUGUGUGUUUGCUUCUUUACACCGCUGUUAACAGUUUAGGCUGUUAGAUUGUUCCAGAUAAGACAAGUACAAGGUUCUUCAGAGCCGUUCUACCACAAGCCUGACAGGAAGAACUCCAACAGCUACUGAAUGUUCCUGUGGUUCCCUCAAGGCUACAGGAGGAGCCCUACGAGGACGAGCCGGUCCACCUGAUGGAGGCCAGUCGCUGCGGUUCAAAGCCAACACCGACUACGUGGACUUCUACUGGACCACACGGAGGCCUUCAAACCAGACCAACAAGUUCAGCGACUCCCCGACUCGUGGGUCUGAGGACGCUGCCGAGCCUCGGUCCAGCCGGCCUCCUGUCUGUGGAUGUUUGAGUGCUGAGAGGUUUGUGGAUCCAUGUGAACGUUCUGUGUUGAAACAGCAGCUUUGGACUCAGUAACGCUGGGAAAAACCAAGAGCUCCUUUAUUUGUGACUUCCACUAAUAAAACUGAUGAAAAUAAGUUUGCCAGGGUUCUGACUGAUAACACAUUAUUAAAUAAUGAAAAUAAUCAUUUAAAUAUUCCUUUAAACAAUCCUUUUAGGUCUACAUUUCCUUUACACUGGCUUCUUGGUAUAUGUACAAGUAUUUUGGGUGGAAUAUACCAUUAAGCCCGAUGUUCAAGGGUUCUUCUGGGAAUAUACCAUUAAACCAACCUUUUAGGUAAAUGUUCCAGGAUGUUGGGUAGAAUAUACCAUCAGAUCAACCUUUUAUGUCUACAUUGGAAGAUUUUAGAGUAGAAUAUUACUCCAAACCAUCCUUUAGGUCUACAUUUAAGGUGGAAUACUCCUUUACACCAAGAUUUUUUGGUCUACAUUGAAGGAUUUUAGGUGGAAUAUUCCUUUGAACGAGCUUUUUAAGUUUAUGUUAAAGGAUGCGGGGUGGAAUAUACCAUCAGACCAACCUCCAAGGUCUACAGUAGUGAAUUUUAGGUAGAAUAUACCAUUAAACUCACCUUUUAGGUCAACAUUGGAGGAUUUUAGGUGGAAUUUUCUUCCAUACCGUCUUUUAGUCUACAUUUAAGGAUGUUUAGGAUGGUAUAUUCUACCGAACCAACUUCUCGGGUCUACAUUUCAGGUGGAAUAUUCCUCCAUACUAACUUUUUCGGUCUACAUUGAAGGAUUUUUUCUAAACCACCCUUUCAGGUCUAUAUUUGAGGUUUUAGGUGGAAUAUUCCUUUUAACCAGCCCCUCAGGUCUUUUUGAGGAUUUUGGAUGGAAUGCUCGGUUAAACCAACAUUUUAAGUGCAUGUCCAAGGAUUUUUGGUGGAAUGUUACUUUCAGGUGGAUGUUUGAGGACCUUGUAGGUGGAAUACUUCCUGAAACCAACCUUUUAGGUCAACAUUCAAAGAUUUAAGGUGGAAUAUUCCUUUAAACCAAUCUAAAUUUCAUGUUUUGAUCAUUAUCAAGUGAGAAACCUCAAUCCAGAUUCCUCAUAAUGACGUUUGACAUUUAUGCUGCUGCUGUUACUUGUUUAGUCCAGACUAAAUGACAGAAAUCCACAACUGUAAUUUUAUUUCAGGACUCGGUUAUUAAAUGUCAAAACAAUCCAUGUGACUCUAAAAACUCAACAGCUUUACAAACUCUAAGAUUAAACUCUCCACAAGGAUCCAAAAUAAGUUGGACUUCUACAUGAGAGCUUGAAUUAUUCUUCAUCUACUUCCUGAAAAGUUUGGUCAAUAAAAAAGACAAAAACUAAUAUUUUCAGCUGAACUAAAGACAGACUUUGUGAUUUUUCUGCUAAAAGGUUGUGUUGUUGUAAACUUCCUCUUUCAAAUAAAUAGCCGCCUAACCUCCUGGAAACCAGCGUUUGUCCUGUUUUUGUGUUGCUCCUCGGCGACCCAAGACAGCCGGGACGUAAUGUUUUUUGAGCAACACACCAUACUAUGACGUUUUUACAAUGAUGGUUCUACUAUGGAACCAGUUUGACAUGUUCAGGCGUUCAGGUAUCAGAAGGUGGUUUUUAACUUCCUUUGUUAACUUUCUGCCUCAACUUGAAACUAAAUUUCCUUCACUAACCCAGCCCUCUGGACGUCCAGUAAGCUGUGUUCCUAUUGGCUGUCCAGGUGGCUGCUUGGUGUUAUCAGGAACACCUGAGCAGCUCAGUGUCUUCCUGCUUUAUUUAGCUUCAGUCAAACAUUUCCUCUGCUUCUCUUCACCACGGAACCGGGUUUGGCUCCAUUGCUUUAGUUUGUUCUUUAGGCGUUGGCUUACAGCUUCCAGCAGUAAAAUAGGCUUUAAUGUGUUUCUUGGUGUGUUUUAGGGCUUUGUACUGGAUAGUUGUCUUGGUAAAUGUGGUUCUUUAGCCACAGUUAGCACAUGGUGCUAAUGUGUGCAGUGAUUAGUGGAUUUGGUGCAGCUGAGUUGUGUCUUUAUCUUGGCUGUAGUGAGGCUUUAGAGGUUUUUGGUCAGACACAUUCUGUAUUCUUGUUUGUGGAGCAACAUUGGUUGUCCUGAAGGUAAGAGUUCCUGUCCUGAUUCUCUGUUCUCAGAGGUUCUCUGUUAGGCUGCAGGAGACUUUAGCGUUUGGGUUGUGCUACUUUGGUUUUUGUAGUUUCAUUUUGACGACUAUCUUGAGGCCCCUCCAUGUGGUUUAGUGAGGUUUUCUGCAACAGUUCUACAUAGCAACCUGCAGCAGAAGAGACUUUUAGAGUUUUUAGGAAGUUCUGGAGAGCAGACUUUAGAGCAGCAGAAACAUUUGUCAGCAGUUUGAGCAGGAGAAGGUGAGCUUCAGAGUAGAAAUGAGACGGAAACCUUCUUGACCCGUGUUGUGAGGUCCUGUACCAAGAGUUUGAGCAGGUUGUGAAGAGUCUGUAGUUCUUUGGUCUGAAAGCACAAGAAAAGUCGACUCAUUAAAUGAGAAAACAGGAGAUAUUGUUGGUUCUUCUGUCACUCUGCAGUUUCCUUAGACUGAAUAUCAAGUUUAUAUUUUAAAUGAUUUCCCAUGUGAGCCCAAGAGGACUUCAAUAAACUCCCUCCAUCCCCUGGACACAACAUAUUUUAUUACGAUGUUAAAUCUUUUUUUUUUUUUUUUUAAAUGUUUUUGAGUUUUAAUCAUAGUUUUAGUAUAGUUUUUUCUCUUUGCUUGUUUAGUUUUGUCGUCUGUGUGAAAGGUGCUAAACAAAUAAAGUUGAAUUGAUAAACUGUA
Long non-coding RNA from Amphiprion ocellaris (clown anemonefish), 3734 nucleotides. RefSeq lists it as uncharacterized. The record is from RefSeq and is a predicted model, not a curated record. NCBI's taxonomy places the organism in Eukaryota, Metazoa, Chordata, Actinopteri, Pomacentridae. The transcript has 4 exons.